CUAGCGAACCCCUUCUGAUAACACAGAGAGGCCCAUCCGUUCUGGCCCCCACCCAGCCGCAUGCACAGAAUAGGCUUAUUAUGACAUCUAUCUGAAUGUCAGUGACCAAAGCCUAGGGCUGGUGAACAGUUCGGAUGGAGGAGGCUUGGAAGCCAUCCUUCAAUUUACCAGCAGCAUGAAGGAACCCAUCCCUAGACAGUCAUCUCCCACACAUCUCUGCCCUGGGAUAUGGGGCUCUGAGGGUCCCUGGACUCCUGCCUCCCCAUUUGGAGCCCCCAGUGGGGUAUGGAAAUAACACCAAUAAGCAGAAGGUCAAGUUCGUCUUGAAGGAAACGUACAAGAUACAGACAAGGAUGCGGGAGAGAACGUAAACGCUAGCUUAUGUUACACUCUGUUAGACUCAGGAGCUGCCAUUCGCUCUGGUGUCAGAAGCUGCAGUUGGAAUUUAUUCUUGCCCCUCUCGGCAUUUCCCCCACCCCUGAAAAUGCCUGUGAUGUUGCCAUUUUUAAUUGCUCUGUGAUGUUCCUUCCUGUGUCAGCUUUCAUGGCUCUCUUCCUAUGGGAAUCGACUCCCUUCUAGUUUCCCACCUAUCACAAGGAUGCCACAGGUGUUUGCACACCCCCGAUGCACCGCUGUGGUCAGUCUUCGUGGUGUCCGUGGAGUAGCAUCCCUAAGACAAUGACACUGAGUGCUCUUAUCACAUGCUUCCAGCUCCCAUAUGCAGACAGCUCCAUCUGGACACCCACCCUCAGGCCCCAAGGAUACUGGCCUCCCCUACCAGGGACCAGUACAUCAGGAAAAAAUUCCCUCUAUGCCACGAAUUACCAUGGGAAAACAUUGCUCGUCGAAGGCCAGGAGGAGGUGGCCUCUUGUUGUGCCUGCCAGGCACAUCGCCGUCUCCCAGGGUGCACUCCUGAAGCAGGCUAGCCCGGGUGACAUGCCUAUGUACCUCACUCAGGCUCCCAAGUCACAGAACAAUGCUCUGUCCACAAACAAUCAUGUUUUGAAAAACAAACAGAGAGAGCGUGGCUGGUACUUUCCCAAUCCUUUCCACUUCCUGGAAAUGUGAGAUAAUGAAUAAAAAUGUUCAUUACUGAA
Molecule: long non-coding RNA, 1098 nt
Organism: Peromyscus maniculatus bairdii (prairie deer mouse)
Lineage: Eukaryota; Metazoa; Chordata; Mammalia; Rodentia; Cricetidae
Source: RefSeq, a predicted model, not a curated record